RNAcentral lists this long non-coding RNA (341 nucleotides) under Cairina moschata (Muscovy duck). Its description in RNAcentral is "domestica (muscovy Duck (domestic type)) lncRNA (ENSCMMG00000000995.1)". Lineage: Eukaryota; Metazoa; Chordata; Aves; Anseriformes; Anatidae. The record is from RNAcentral.
GGGAGUGGGAUGGUGCUUCUUAUAUGCACUUUUGCUUCAUCCUCCUACUAAUUUGUGGAGAUUCAACAGUAAGCUGGGAGAACCCAUGGAGAAUGCAGAGAAUGCUUUGCUACAUGGAAAGGAAUCCACAAGAAGGAAAACCCCCAAAUAGCCUCACCAGACUUUGGAUCAGGCCCAUGAAAAUGCUGUGCUUUGUACAACGAUCUAAGAAGGGGCAAAAUGAAUCACCUCUAUUUCUGCAGAAAGAGCUUCCUUCUCUGAACACCUGGGUGUGGCUUUUCUCUGUUCUCAUAAAAUGAGUCUCAUGACCAGUUGCAGGAACACCCAGGGAACAGAACAAG